RNAcentral lists this ribosomal RNA (143 nucleotides) under Piromyces sp. PrI. RNAcentral describes it as "5.8S ribosomal RNA". It matches the Rfam family "5.8S ribosomal RNA". Rfam says of the family: 5.8S ribosomal RNA (5.8S rRNA) is a component of the large subunit of the eukaryotic ribosome. Lineage: Eukaryota; Fungi; Neocallimastigomycota; Neocallimastigomycetes; Neocallimastigales; Neocallimastigaceae. The record is from RNAcentral.
ACAAUGGAUCUCUUGGUUCUCGCAACGAUGAAGAACGCAGCAAAAUGCGAUAAGUAGUGUGAAUUGCAGAAUACGUGAAUCAUCGAAUCUUCGAACGCAUAUUGCACUUUUCUAGUUUACUAGAAAAGUAUGUCUGUUUGAGU